RNAcentral lists this long non-coding RNA (701 nucleotides) under Homo sapiens (human). RNAcentral's name for it is "non-protein coding lnc-DHRS7-1:11". The record is from RNAcentral. Lineage: Eukaryota; Metazoa; Chordata; Mammalia; Primates; Hominidae.
CUCUGCCGCUGCUGCUGCCGCCGCCUUUGCCUUACGGCCUGGAGCACCAGGCCGAAGCCGAAGGGAGCGUCCGGAUCCCGGAUAGCAGCCAGGACCCGGGCCUUCACGUUCCGGCGCCAGGGACUGGACAGAAUGUGCGGCUAUUAGGUGCCCAGUAGAUCGACAGCCCCUCCGUGCCGGCCCUUGGCCAAGUAGGGACUCGGAAGCUACCCCUACGGCGUCCGCGCCCGGAGCCCUGGCUCUUCUACCUGCCUGCAGAUACAAACCCCACUCCCUGCGAAGAUGGUGUACACGCAGCCCCGAGCACAGACCCGAAGCUGUCCACCCUUCUUGGGCGCCGUCGCGGUCUGGCCGCUGCCCUUCGAACCCAUGUUCUUCGUAGACUCUGGAAUGGAGCUGGAAGCUGUCAUCCUCAGCACACUAACGCAGGAACAGAAAACCAAGCACUGCAUGUUCCCACUUAUAAGUGAGAGCUGAACGAGCAGAACACAUGGACAUAUGAAGGGGAACAACACACUCUGGGGCCUGUGAGGUGCAGGGAGAGCAUCAAGAAGAACAGCUAAUGGGUGCUGGGCUUAAUACCUGGGUGAUGGGUUGAUCUGUGCGGCAAACCACCAUGGCACACAUUUACCUAUGUAACAAACCUUGACAUCCUGCACAUGUACCCCGGAACUUAAAAAUAAAAGUUGACAAAAAGAAAA